This 889-nucleotide ribosomal RNA is filed under the name uncultured bacterium. RNAcentral's name for it is "bacterial SSU rRNA". It matches the Rfam family "Bacterial small subunit ribosomal RNA", at positions 8 to 853 of the family's 1533-position model. The record is from RNAcentral.
AGAGUUUGAUCAUGGCUCAGGAUGAACGCUGGCGGCGUGCCUAAUACAUGCAAGUCGAACGCUUUGUCUUUAAUUGAUCUGACGAGCUUGCUCUGAUGUGAUUUUAUCUGACAAAGAGUGGCGAACGGGUGAGUAACACGUGGGUAACCUACCUCUUAGCAGGGGAUAACAUUUGGAAACAAGUGCUAAUACCGUAUAAUACCAACAACCGCAUGGUUGUUGGUUGAAAGGUGGUUCUGCUAUCACUAAGAGAUGGACCCGCGGUGCAUUAGCUAGUUGGUAAGGUAACGGCUUACCAAGGCAAUGAUGCAUAGCCGAGUUGAGAGACUGAUCGGCCACAAUGGGACUGAGACACGGCCCAUACUCCUACGGGAGGCAGCAGUAGGGAAUCUUCCACAAUGGGCGCAAGCCUGAUGGAGCAACGCCGCGUGUGUGAUGAAGGGCUUCGGCUCGUAAAACACUGUUAUAAGAGAAGAACGGCACUGAGAGUAACUGUUCAGUGUGUGACGGUAUCUUACCAGAAAGGAACGGCUAAAUACGUGCCAGCAGCCGCGGUAAUACGUAUGUUCCAAGCGUUAUCCGGAUUUAUUGGGCGUAAAGCGAGCGCAGACGGUUAUUUAAGUCUGAAGUGAAAGCCCUCAGCUCAACUGAGGAAUGGCUUUGGAAACUGGAUGACUUGAGUGCAGUAGAGGAAAGUGGAACUCCACGUGUAGCGGUGAAAUGCGUAGAUAUACGGAAGAACACCAGUGGCGAAGGCGGCUUUCUGGACUGUAACUGACGUUGAGGCUCGAAAGUGUGGGUAGCAAACAGGAUUAGAUACCCUGGUAGUCCACACCGUAAACGAUGAGUGCUAGAUGUUCGAGGGUUUCCGCCCUUGAGUGUCGCAGCU